Molecule: ribosomal RNA, 1498 nt
Filed under: Victivallales bacterium Lenti_02
Lineage: Bacteria; Pseudomonadati; Lentisphaerota; Lentisphaeria; Victivallales
Description: bacterial SSU rRNA
Rfam family: Bacterial small subunit ribosomal RNA
Source: RNAcentral
AGAGUUUGAUCCUGGCUCAGAUUGAACGCUGGCGGCAUGGAUUAGGCAUGCAAGUCGGACGCGAAGCCGUCUUCGGACGGCGGAAAGUGGCGAAAGGGUGAGUAACACGUGAGCAACCUGCCCCCCGGUUCGGAAUAGCCCGCGGAAACGCGGAUUAAUACCGGAUGUCGCGGAAGUGGCCGCCUGGCCGUUUCCGCGAAAGAUUUAUCGCCGGGGGAUGGGCUCGCGCCCCAUUAGCUAGUUGGCGGGGUAACGGCCCACCAAGGCUACGACGGGUAGGUGGUCUGAGAGGACGGCCACCCACACCGGGACUGAGACACUGCCCGGACUCCUACGGGAGGCUGCAGUCGAGAAUCUUCCGCAAUGGGCGAAAGCCUGACGGAGCAAUGCCGCGUGGGGGACGAAGGCCCUCGGGUCGUAAACCCCUGUCAGAUGGGACGAAUUUUGACGGUACCAUCAGAGGAAGCCACGGCUAACUACGUGCCAGCAGCCGCGGUAAUACGUAGGUGGCGAGCGUUAAUCGGAUUUACUGGGCGUAAAGGGUCCGUAGGGGGUCUGCCAAGUCGGCUGUGAAAUGCCGCGGCUCAACCGCGGCACUGCACUCGAUACUGGCGGGCUUGAGUCCGCGAGGGGUGAACGGAAUUCCUGGUGUAGCGGUGGAAUGCGUAGAUAUCAGGAAGAACGCCGAUGGCGAAAGCGGUUCACUGGCGCGGCACUGACCCUGAGGGACGAAAGCGUGGGUAGCAAACAGGAUUAGAUACCCUGGUAGUCCACGCCGUAAACGUUGUGCGCUAGAUGUGGGGGGACUGAUCCCCUCCGUGUCCAAGCUAACGCGAUAAGCGCACCGCCUGGGGACUACGGUCGCAAGACUAAAACUCAAAGGAAUUGACGGGGGCCCGCACAAGCGGUGGAGCAUGUGGCUUAAUUCGAGGCAACGCGAAGAACCUUACCCGGGUUUGACAUAUACCGGACCGGCGCCGGAAACGGGCCCUCCCUUCGGGGCCGGUAUACAGAUGCUGCAUGGCUGUCGUCAGCUCGUGCCGUGAGGUGUUCGGUUAAGUCCGGCAACGAGCGCAACCCGCGUCGUCAGUUACCAGCGCGUAGUGGCGGGGACUCUGGCGAGACUGCCCGUGUCAAGCGGGAGGAAGGCGCGGACGACGUCAAGUCCGUAUGGCUCCUACAUCCGGGGCUGCACACGUGCUACAAUGGCCGGUACAAUGGGACGCGAUGCCGCGAGGCGGAGCCAAUCCCCAAAGCCGGCCCCAGUUCGGAUCGGAGUCUGCAACUCGACUCCGUGAAGUCGGAAUCGCUAGUAAAGGGACAUCAGCAACGGUCCCUUGAAUACGUUCCCGGGCCUUGUACACACCGCCCGUCACAUCAUGGAAGCCGGCUGCACCCGUAGUCGCCGUCCCGACCCGCAAGGGGGGGAGGCGCCGAAGGUGUGUCCGGUAACUGGGAUGAAGUCGUAACAAGGUAGCCGUAGGGGAACCUGCGGCUG